Molecule: ribosomal RNA, 496 nt
Filed under: uncultured bacterium
Lineage: Bacteria
Description: partial 16S ribosomal RNA
Rfam family: Bacterial small subunit ribosomal RNA
Source: RNAcentral
AUGAACGCUGGCGGCGUGCCUAAUACAUGCCAGUCGAGCGAACAGACGAGGAGCUUGCUCCUCUGACGUUAGCGGCGGACGGGUGAGUAACACGUGGAUAACCUACCUAUAAGACUGGGAUAACUUCGGGAAACCGGAGCUAAUACCGGAUAACAUGUUGAACCGCAUGGUUCAACAGUGAAAGACGGUCUUGCUGUCACUUAUAGAUGGAUCCGCGCCGCAUUAGCUAGUUGGUAAGGUAACGGCUUACCAAGGCAACGAUGCGUAGCCGACCUGAGAGGGUGAUCGGCCACACUGGAACUGAGACACGGUCCAGACUCCUACGGGAGGCAGCAGUAGGGAAUCUUCCGCAAUGGGCGAAAGCCUGACGGAGCAACGCCGCGUGAGUGAAGAAGGUCUUCGGAUCGUAAAACUCUGUUAUUAGGGAAGAACAAAUGUGUAAGUAACUAUGCACGUCCUGACGGUACCUAAUCAGAAAGCCACGGCUAACUACGUG